GUAGGUAUAAUUUAAACAAAAUACUAGAUUGUGAUUCUAGAAACAGAAGUUAAACUCUUCUUACCAACC
This 69-nucleotide transfer RNA is filed under the name Pelobates fuscus (common spadefoot toad). Its description in RNAcentral is "tRNA-His". It matches the Rfam family "tRNA". From Rfam's summary of the family: Transfer RNA (tRNA) molecules are approximately 80 nucleotides in length. Their secondary structure includes four short double-helical elements and three loops (D, anti-codon, and T loops). Lineage: Eukaryota; Metazoa; Chordata; Amphibia; Anura; Pelobatidae. The record is from RNAcentral.